CUACGGGUGGCUGCAGUGGGGAAUAUUGGACAAUGGGGGCAACCCUGAUCCAGCAAUGCCGCGUGUGUGAAGAAGGCCUGCGGGUUGUAAAGCACUUUCAAUUGGGAAGAAAAGGGGUUGGUUAAUACCCGACCUUCUUGACGUUACCUUUAGAGGAAGCACCGGCUAACUCCGUGCCAGCAGCCGCGGUAAUACGGAGGGUGCGAGCGUUAAUCGGAAUUACUGGGCGUAAAGCGUGCGUAGGCGGCGGAUUAAGUCAGAUGUGAAAGCCCUGGGCUCAACCUGGGAACUGCAUUUGAUACUGGUCUGCUAGGGUCUGGUAGAGGGUAGUGGAAUUCCGUGUGUAGCGGUGAAAUGCGUAGAUAUGCGGAGGAACAUCAGUGGCGAAGGCGGCUGCCUGGACCAAGACUGACGCUGAGGUACGAAAGCGUGGGUAGCAAACAGGAUUAGAUACCCGGGUAGUC
This 464-nucleotide ribosomal RNA is filed under the name uncultured bacterium. RNAcentral describes it as "partial 16S ribosomal RNA". It matches the Rfam family "Bacterial small subunit ribosomal RNA", at positions 339 to 795 of the family's 1533-position model. The record is from RNAcentral.